This is a long non-coding RNA of Passer domesticus (house sparrow), 597 nucleotides long. RefSeq lists it as uncharacterized. The transcript is spliced from 3 exons. The record is from RefSeq and is a predicted model, not a curated record. Lineage: Eukaryota; Metazoa; Chordata; Aves; Passeriformes; Passeridae.
CCCACAGCAGGGCACUGGGGAGAGGAGCACGGGAAAGGGUGGCCUUGGCCUCGAGGCCAAGACUCAAGCCCAAGCCCAGGGUCUUGCUCAGGUGUGCACACAGUGGGUGCACCCAUGGGAGCCCUGAGCACAGUGUGAGGGCAGAGGCAGUAAUGGUACCUGGUGCCCCUUCUAUCAUCCGAGCGUGCCCUGUGGCUGUGCUGGGUUUGCAAUCCUUUGACACCCAUGGAGGAACCAUGUCAUGCUUAACCCCUGGCCAGGAACUCCAUGCCACACUGCUGCUCACUCAUUGCUUGGAGAGGACUGAAAGGCUGAGUGUGAAUUUUACCCACCCCAUAACUGGAUAGACUGCAUCUGUUCAUUGCUGUUUUUUCUGCAGUCUGUGAAUUGUCUUCCAUCCUGUGCUUCAUUCCAAAUGGACCAGCCUCUGGGGAAUAGUGCAGACUACUACUUUGUGUUGUCACCUAGUGUGCUGACAGGAUGAAGAAAAGUGUUUGGCACAGCCUUUCAUUGGUAACAUAUACUGAUAGACACAAGCGUGUCUCACUCAAGCUGUUCAACAUUUAAAUGUGUAAUUAAAUAUAAUCACUAUCCAUA